CAAGUUAAUAUCCAUUUAUUUUUUUAGCUUUAAAAUCAGCAAAAAUCAGCUUAUUUUCUCUUCAUGUGGCCGGCCAUAGCAAGAACAAAGAGAGGAAAAGAAAAACAAGAAACCUAGGUGGGAAAAUUAAAGAAAAAGUGUGGGAUUUCAAGGAAUCAAGCAAUCAAAGGUAAAAUUUCUUGAUUUUGACUUGUGAUCUACCUUUCCCAUGCUUUUCUCCUUAUUUUCCAUGGUUAGAUUUCAUGUUUUCAUGGUGAAUUCAUGGCUGCCCAAAUGGGUAUGGAGAGAGAAUGAAGUUAGAUUGAUUUGAUUUUAAGUUAUGUUAGUGUUUUAAGUUAGUUUAGCAUAUUUAGAAACAAAACAACAAGAAAAGAAUUCAUUUUCCCCCAUUACCAUCAUUGGCCGAAUUUCCUAGGGAGAAUAUUGUGGCUGAAUUUGAUGAUAUUUCAUGAUAUUUUGGUGAUAUUUGAUGUUUGGUGAGGCUAGAAAUUAAAUGGGAAAUUUUAGUGUGAAAAUACGAAUUUUUGCUCAACAUAUAGACAUGUGUAAUUAUUGACUCGGGAUCGAUAAAUUGAACCUCAUUCACAUUCACUGAGGUAAUUUAGGUAUAAUUGGAGCAUAGAAAGUGAAAAGAAUUGAUUUGGAGUUAAAUUGAAGAUUUUAGCCGAUUAGACCGAGAAUAGCACGAAUUAGGUCGAAUACCGUAUUUAAACAGCUAUUCGGACAUUUUUGCAUUCCAUAUCAUGCAUUAGUAGUCUAAAUUAGUUUAAUUUCAAUUUAGUAUCAAUGUGGUGAAUUUCUCAAUUUUGUACUGUGUCAAGGUGGUGUGUCCUCCGAUAAAGGAAAGGAAAUUGCAUCCGAGGACCAGUAGAUAGAGUACUUCAAAAGUCUGCAUUCUAGACAUUGUGAGUAAACUUACUGUCAUUUUAAUUAUCUAGGGUGGUUUUUAGAUGAUUUCAUGAAUUCUAUGAAAAAAUGGAUUUAAAAGGUAAAUUUUCAUGUUUUAUGAAUAAAGGUGUUCCAAUGAAAUUAAAUUAUAAAUUGUUUUGAAACUAAUAAUGAUUUUGAAAAAAAUAGAGUACAUGGAGACUGUUAAUUGUGGCAAUUUGAUUGUUUAAAUUGAUGGCUUAUGUUAUAUUGUUAUUGUGUUGGCAUGACUGGCUGGAUUGUGUUUUAUGAAUUGUAUGAAUUGUUUUAUUUUACCCUUACAGGCUGGGUAGUAUUUCAUUAGCCCUGUCAUGCCAUCAAAAUUUUAUUAUAUGGUGGAUAUAUAUUAAUUAAUCACUGCAGUAGGAGGCUUCUGUGGACCAAGCUUUUAGAGGGGCACAGUAAACCCCAUUAUAUUCUUAGCUCGAACGGAGAGGUGCAUAAGGUAUCUCCUGGGGUAAAGUUUAGGGUUCACUUCACGCCAAACCACCACGUGAGGGGGAACUCAGCCAACGCCAAGGAACGACUAUGUUUCAAAAUAAAAAUAUGAUUUAUGCGAAAUGUGAAUUUUUAACAACCUUGGCAGUCUCGGUAGGAUGCCUCAGCUAAGGUGUCCCUGAAAAUGGAUUUAUGGCACAAGCUUAGUUUUUAUGAGAUUCAUAAGCCUCUUCACGUAUUUUAAAUGAAAUGUAUUCUAAUGCUGUGACCCAGUUUACGAUGAUUUACUUUAUUGUCUCCAUGUACUCAACUCUAGAUGUUUCUGAUGAUGUCUGUUUACUCAUUGGGAUUUUAUAAUCUCACCACCCUCAUUUCCACCCAUUUCAGGUUCAGUAUAGACUGUAGAUAGUUGAUCUCAUCGAAGACUACCGUUGGAUCUGCAUUUUUCAAACUGUAGGUUCACAGUCCUCUUUACUUUUGUUUAUUCGAGGGCCCUCUUGUUAUUGUAAAUUUAAUUAAAUAUUUUGGCUUACUGUAUUACAGUAUGUAUGAAUUUAUUUAACUUUUACGCUAUAAAAAUUAUUUACGUAUAACUCUAAAAAUAUUGUUUUAUAAGAAAAUAGAAUAUUUUACUUAACAUUUCUUUUAUUUUCUUAGUAUAUCUAAAUAAUCAAAAUUUCAUUUUAAAUGAAGAUUUUAGACUUUAAAACUCACUUUUGAUUAUGAAUUAUGUGUUUUGUAAUUGUAAAUUACAUUUUAGCCGGUUUUGAAAUUUUUGGGAAAAAAUGACUAAAAUACCCCUGUAAGACAAAAAUUAUUAUUUUAUUUGUUUUGAGUUGAAAACAGCUUAAAAUCUUCUAGAACAUGAUUGUCGGCAACGGUUACUCACGGGGGAAGCGAGAUACUGAUAUUAAGUAUUACGGGGUCCUGGUUGGCAUUUCAGGAAAUGAGUGUCUAUCAAGGUACCGCGACAGUUGUCACGGGCUCGAGGGGAAUACCGAGUCGUGACACAACCCCUCGAUGUCAAAUACUACACUGAUGAUG
RNAcentral lists this long non-coding RNA (2409 nucleotides) under Theobroma cacao (cacao). RNAcentral describes it as "long non-coding RNA (TCAC_LNC005886)". The record is from RNAcentral. Lineage: Eukaryota; Viridiplantae; Streptophyta; Magnoliopsida; Malvales; Malvaceae.